AGAGUUUGAUCCUGGCUCAGGACGAACGCUGGCGGCGUGCUUAACACAUGCAAGUCGAACGAUGAAAGUGGGAGCUUGCUCCUACUGGAUUAGUGGCGAACGGGUGAGUAACACGUGAGCAAUCUGCCCCAGACUCCGGGAUAACUCCGAGAAAUCGGUGCUAAUACCGGAUACGAACUGAGACCGCAUGGUCAUUAGUUGGAAAGAACUUCGGUCAGGGAUGAGCUCGCGGCCUAUCAGCUAGUUGGUGAGGUAAUGGCUCACCAAGGCGACGACGGGUAGCCGGCCUGAGAGGGUGACCGGCCACACUGGGACUGAGACACGGCCCAGACUCCUACGGGAGGCAGCAGUGGGGAAUAUUGCACAAUGGGCGCAAGCCUGAUGCAGCAACGCCGCGUGAGGGACGAAGGCCUUCGGGUUGUAAACCUCUUUUAGCAGGGAAGAAGCGAAAGUGACGGUACCUGCAGAAAAAGCACCGGCUAACUACGUGCCAGCAGCCGCGGUAAUACGUAGGGUGCAAGCGUUGUCCGGAAUUAUUGGGCGUAAAGAGCUCGUAGGCGGUUUGUCGCGUCUGCUGUGAAAAUCCGAGGCUCAACCUCGGACCUGCAGUGGGUACGGGCAAACUAGAGUGCGGUAGGGGAGAUUGGAAUUCCUGGUGUAGCGGUGGAAUGCGCAGAUAUCAGGAGGAACACCAAUGGCGAAGGCAGAUCUCUGGGCCGUAACUGACGCUGAGGAGCGAAAGCGUGGGGAGCGAACAGGAUUAGAUACCCUGGUAGUCCACGCCGUAAACGGUGGGAACUAGAUGUGGGGUCCGUUCCACGGAUUCCGUGUCGCAGCUAACGCAUUAAGUUCCCCGCCUGGGGAGUACGGCCGCAAGGCUAAAACUCAAAGGAAUUGACGG
RNAcentral lists this ribosomal RNA (901 nucleotides) under uncultured Actinomycetes bacterium. RNAcentral describes it as "bacterial SSU rRNA". It matches the Rfam family "Bacterial small subunit ribosomal RNA", at positions 8 to 916 of the family's 1533-position model. Lineage: Bacteria; Bacillati; Actinomycetota; Actinomycetes. The record is from RNAcentral.